Molecule: transfer RNA, 72 nt
Filed under: Marmota marmota marmota (Alpine marmot)
Lineage: Eukaryota; Metazoa; Chordata; Mammalia; Rodentia; Sciuridae
Also listed under: 4 other names
Rfam family: tRNA
About the family: Transfer RNA (tRNA) molecules are approximately 80 nucleotides in length. Their secondary structure includes four short double-helical elements and three loops (D, anti-codon, and T loops).
Source: Rfam by way of RNAcentral
UGGGGUGUAGCUCAGUGGCAGAGCUCUUGCCUAGCAUGCAUGAGGCCCUGGGUCUGGUCCCCAGCACUGCAA